Molecule: long non-coding RNA, 462 nt
Organism: Astyanax mexicanus (Mexican tetra)
Lineage: Eukaryota; Metazoa; Chordata; Actinopteri; Characiformes; Acestrorhamphidae
Exons: 3
Source: RefSeq, a predicted model, not a curated record
CUGCAGCAGAGGGGGAAGGAGGUGGUUCAGUUGAAGACUGAGCUGCACAGCACUCGCAAAGAAAUGAAGGAGUUGCUUGAGGAUGUGCAGAAUAUGCUGGAAGAGGAGGAGAGAACAAAGCCACAUGGAACCAUAUCACGCUGCUUGAUCACCAGUUUAAGAAACUGCUCGCCCUGUACACAGAUGCAGCAGGACAGGAGGAGGGGGCAGUAUUGUUACCAGUAUCCAGUCAGAGGACCACAGAAGAGCAACUGAGUGAGCAGCAAGAAAGACAGAGCACUUACUAACUGAGCUACAAUGAGGCAGCGGGACGCCUUGGUGUGUAAGCUGACAGAGGAGCUGGAGCAGGAACAUGGGCGCUAUGAAGAAAAGGAGCGUCAACUGAGCAAACUCGAGCUCCACAUGGUCGACGUGGAGAAGGAGGUGGACGGCCUAAGAAUCAAACACUCUAAUGGCAAGGGG